This is a long non-coding RNA of Apis cerana (Asiatic honeybee), 3163 nucleotides long. RefSeq lists it as uncharacterized. Lineage: Eukaryota; Metazoa; Arthropoda; Insecta; Hymenoptera; Apidae. The record is from RefSeq and is a predicted model, not a curated record.
AAGUAUAAUUUAUACAUAUCAUAAUACAUAAGUUGCUUCUUUAUAACAAGACAAUUGAUAAAUUCAAAUUGCAUUCAUCGAGCUUCGAGGAUUUAAAUUAAUGUGUAACAAAUAUCAUUCGAUACAUCAUACAUUCAACGGUAUAUUUAGUCACAUAUUUUUUAAUAUUUUUACAAAUUUAUGAAAUCAAUUAUUUCGUAUACAGCAACUUAACAGAAAUUAUUGAAUCGAAAAAAUUAUUGAAGACGAAAUUAAUCGAUAAGCAAUCUAAUAGAAGUUAUCGAAUCCAAAACGAAAUCGUAAUUGAAUAAAAUUGAACAUCAGCAAUAGUGUAUUUCUCUGGAUUCUUUCACCUGAUGUAUUUCUCUGAAUUCUUUCAUAUAUUUCAUUAGAUCUAUUAUUCUUUCUUUUUUUUUUACCUCUAAUAAAUACGUCUUCUUUUUAAUUAUUUUAUUUAUUAUUUUUUAUUCUUUAUUUUUUUCUUCUUUAUAUUGCUUAAAAUUUUUAAUUUAUUUCGAAUUUUCUUAUUUUUCUAUAUAGUAUAUUUUAUCGAUUUCUCUAUUUCUUUUUUUAUCUGUGAUAAAUAUAUUUUUCAUUUUGUUCAUUAUUUUUUAUUCCUCGCUUUUUUCUUAUUUAUUGACUACAAUUUUUUUAUUUCUUGUUCAAAAUUGUAAUCACGAUAAAUUUUUUCUCUUUUCAUGUUUCAAUUUUCUUAUUACGAUUUUCUUAGAACGAAAUUUUCGCGGCAAUUUUAAAAUAAACCCAUCCGUUCCAUCUUAUAAUUCGUUCACGUUACUCUCGAGAAGUAAGAACUUGAAUUGUUGAAUUGUUUCAAAAUAGUAUUCAACUAGUAUUUCGUGCUAAAGCAUAAAUUAAAUCGGAUCGUACGAAACACGAACCUUCUUCCUUCGAACAGUGGUAAGAAAAGAAAAGUGGAAUGUAAAUUAAUUUGAAAUCUCGGGAGAAGUUGGUAUCCUAAUAUUUCUAUGUAAACUUGCCACAAUAAAAUUUAAAUGAAACCAAGUUUUCGGCGCCACGAUUUGAAAGAAGAAUAGAAUAUUAUGUACUUUUUGGCCCUGUGUCUAUAGAAAUAACUCUCAAGAAGGUUGCUCGUUCGUGGGAAACACGGAAAUGAAAAUGGAUUGUAACGAAAAAAUUAAACGAUAAAGAACAAUACUAUUAUUUUUUAAUCUUUCCGUGGAUUCUCUUCUCUUAAAAUGGUAAAGAGCAGAAGAAGAAAAAAGAAUUCGAAAGAACAAUGUGGAACUUGUUACAAGUUUUAUGAGCUUUUAUUUUAUAUUUGCGGUGGAGAAGUUUAGAAUUUGAAGAAAUUCCUGAGAAAAAAUGUUAAUCAUGAUAAAUUAUUUUUCGUAAAUUGGUACGUGUGAAAUGUCAAUUCUGGAAUUCGAAAAAUGCAAAUUUUAACAAGUUCGAAAUAAUCUUAAAUGAAAGAAUAAAUUAUAAUUUCCUCAAAUUGGUACAUCAGAUACAUCUAAUAAAUUGAUAUUUAAUUGAACAUUGUACAUAUUUUAUUAGUUGAUAUACAAUUAAAAAUGAUUUGCCAAAUGAAAUUUCUUUAAUUUGAGAAAUUCUUCUUUACUUUCAAAACAAGUAAUUGUAAGAAACACAGGAGAGACUUGUUCAAAGAGUUUAUUCUUGAAGAUACAAGUAGCAUUGUAUCGUUUAAUGACAAGAAACAGAGAGAAGAAUGAAUAUUUGUAGCGCGAUAAAGAGAGAAAGACAAAGGAAAAAAUCAUAAAAGAAGGGAAGAAAAUACCGCGCGAAUCUUCAUUUUCCUCUUUUCAUUAAUACGAAAAAAUCUCUUGAUCUGUGUGCCACGAUUCGAGAGUAAAGGGAAAAAAGAAAAAGGAAAAAAAGAAAAACGAAAAACGGAAUAGACGAAGAGGCGAGAAAUCGAUUUGACUUUUCCGGCACAUCUGUUUUCGGAAUUUGCAUACGAAUUCUUGGCCAAAGAUUUAAAAGAAACAGGCAUUCUCCGCAAAAGAAGAAAGUGUGGAGUUCGAGCUCCCUGGCCACACGUGUCAAUUGAAUGUUUUCCAGUCUGAGAAUUACAAACGUGGAAGAUGGAAACUCGAAAAGAGAGUUCAAUAUGUAUAUUUAUCUAUCAUCGAUGAAAAUCGAUAGAGGAAUAUGCUCGAAGAGUUGAAGAAGAAGAGGGAAAAACUGAGUGUGAUUCUCUCUUUUUAUGGUAUUGAACAGAGAACGUAAAAUUUCUAUGCAAAUUCUUAUUCUGGUAUUUACGAGAGAAAGACAUUGCGGCCGGAAAUAAAAAAAAGAAAAAAACAGUUCGAGAUCUGUUUUAGCGCCCGCGUGCCAGUGGAAAAUACGAAGAUAUAGUGGGAAAACCUGAAAAUUGCGUGAAACGACGAAAAAGUGUGACGAGAUUUAUGCAAUUAAAAAUUAGAGAUGCGAGAGAAGAAACGUGAGAGAAUUUUUAGAUAAAAUUUGAAUACGAAACUUUUUAAUGUGAUGAAUGAACAGAAGGAAUGAAAUAGUAAAGUUACUAGUCGCUGAGAAAAAUUAUUUGCGCGCUAUCUGAAAUAUUGGUAUAAGUUAAAAUAAAUUGUUGAAUGAACUAUACGAAAAUGAACUAUACGUAUAAAAUUAGGAAGAAUUAAGAAGGAGAAAUUAAAAUUUAAAAAUGAGAGGUAUCAUGAGAAUUCUUUUAAAAUGCAUAUUUGAAGAUGAAUGAUGAAUGAAAAUUUCGUAUGAAUUAGAAAUUCAGAAAUAAACGAAAAUUGGAAGAAACAAGAAUAAUAAUGGAAAGAAUAAGAAUGGAAGAUAAAAUUUAUAUUUUAAUCAAUUUAUCGAGGAAUAAGUGAAACGUUGAAAAAUUUAUUUAUUCCCUGAAUUUUUAUAAGAAACAAAAAAGUACAAAGUAAAAACAGUCGAAGAUAUACAAAAUAUGAAAUGGUAAAUACAAACAUUUCAGAAACACGCAACAUUUUGUAAUAACAAUAUGCAUUUUCGUUUCGUAUUGAAAUUUUAUUACCAAAAUUAAAAUAUAAAUUAAAAAAUCUCAUAGAAAUAUAAGAUUAUUUAUAUUUUGAAAUAAUUCAUUAAAUCUUUGCAUGUACAAUUAAAUAAAUCCAUUUUCCAUUGACAUUUUGUUUUUCACAAUAUUAAAAUCGAUCAUCAAAUU